This is a non-coding RNA of Hydra vulgaris (swiftwater hydra), 2502 nucleotides long. NCBI's taxonomy places the organism in Eukaryota, Metazoa, Cnidaria, Hydrozoa, Anthoathecata, Hydridae. The record is from RefSeq and is a predicted model, not a curated record.
GCUACCAACAGCGUCGAAGAACCCUUGAGUCCAAGAAAGUCAUCUUUCCCUUCAAAUUUUUCCACGGUCUCUGAAGAAGAAGAUAUUAAUCGGCAUCAAGAGGCAACUCAACUGGGUGAUCAAACAGUUAGAAACGACCUCGGUUUGUGGAAAAGGGUUUUAUCUAAAGUCGAACGCAAUCUAGUUAUACUAUAUGGACCACCUCAAAAUCCGGCACUUUUUCCUAGAUAUUCUACAAACAAAAAAGUUCCUGUUUUUUACGAAACUUCUCUCAACAGAGAGAAGAUCAACAGAGACUGGCUUAUCUGGAGUGGAACUACUAAAGCUUUUGUUUGUUUUUCCUUCUCUAUUUUUGAACAAAAGCAUAAUUUUGGCCCUGGAAUUCAAUCUUUUCUCUUGAUGUGGGGUGGCGGAAUAAAAGAUAACUGACAAAAGCUAGAAGAAAAGAUUAAAAGCCACUAGUGCAAUGUUCAACGCAGAAAUCACUACAUCGUCUGGAAAUCAGCCUUUAAAGCUUUAAAUCAGACCGGAAAUUGAUUUAAAAGACCGGGAUUGAUUCAGAACUUGAAACGUCAAUAAGAAAUCUAGGCAUCUAAGUGGUAUAAUGUUUUACGCUACGUCUUGGAUGUCACUCUCCAUUUAGCUUCAAGAAGUCUAAAUUUUCAAGGUUCAUCAAACAUGCUGGACAAGUAUGAUAAUUGUAAUUUUUUAGCCACCCUUGAGCUGUUGGGGAAACAAAAUAAGACACCAAAAUUCUUCUAGCAGAUGUUUCUCGAUACCAAAAACAAGGAACAAGAAUGCAAGCGCACUAUUUGAGCUGGAGAACUCAAAAUGAGUUCAUUAUGGCAAGUGGUGAAACUGUUUUUGCUGCUAUUACCGAAGAGGUCCGCACAGCCAUUAAUUUUUCCAUUAUUGUUGAUUGAACUCCGGACGUGUCAUAUACAAAUCAUUUUCAUUCUUCGAUUUGUCCGCCUAGGAUCUGACAACCAAUUGAUAGUAAAAGAGCGUUUUCUGAAGGUAGAAAAUCUGGAGAAAAAAAGGGAUUUGACUUGGUAUUAAAUAUUGGCGUAUUCUUCCUAGAUUGUAGACGGACACGUAUCAUAAUAUCUCUAUUUAUCUCGCCACAAAUCGAUGCGGAAACUUCUGUCACAAUCUUUACCCAGCGUUCCACUGCUUGCGUGUGGCACGGUAACUUAUCCAAAAAAUCAGAUAGUAGAAUGUGAUGAUCUUUUACCUCCUCCAGCAGUUUGUCAGUGAGCUGCAUUGUUAAUGGUGGCUCCAACAGCUGAAAAUUACUCCAAUCAAUCAACUCCCACGUAUUAUUUGCCAUAAAAUUCAGAGUAGGUAGUUUGAACUGAUGCAUACUUGAUUGGUUAGCUUUCAUAAUUCUUUCUUUUCUAGCUCUCUGUAUACGCCUAACACCUAAUUCUUCGAUAUGUGGCUGAUCAUCUAAUACGAUUGCCAGAAUAUUCUCUUGAUCACCAUAAAAUGCAUUUGUUUGAACUAUUUUGUCUACUACUUUACGUAAUGGAACCAGCAGAUAUCGUGAUUUUGCAAUUGUGCUGUACAGAUACCUGCUGCCAUGAAAGAAAGAAGAUUCUUUCUUGAUGAUGAACCACAUAGGAGCAUAAACUCGCAUAAUGAACGUAAAUAAAAUUACCAAAUUUGACGAGGGACUGCUGGUAGAAACAUAUAUUCUGAGGAUCCUAUUGGCAGUGGUGAGCCACUUAAAAUGAUCCAUUUUCCCAGGGCUGCGCUUCUUCAGGUUGGUAGAACAAAUACCACUUAAUACUGCUUGGCAGAUGUCAAAAAGAUAAAGUUGAUUUGUACUGAGAACUUUUCUGUCCACCUCUGGCAUUUCUACAUCAUGAUUUCUAGGUUAAAAAUCAACAACCUUUAAGACCUCACAAGUUUCAAGGGACUUUCCAAUUAAGCCUGAAUAGCAUCUAGGACCAGAUGUUGGACUAUCCAACUCUGCAAACAAAUGGCGUAGUUGAAAUUUGUUUACAUGUAGCAAACAAAUUACCCAUUGUAGAGGCUGUUGGAGUACUAAUUCGAUCAAUCCACCAUUGUUUCCCGUGUUUACAUUUGUUCCAUCACAACCCACCAUUUGCAAAUUAUCCAAGAUAAUAUUGUGCUUUUUAGAAUUGUAGAAUUGAAAUUUUAGUGAUUCAGCUGUUCCUCUAAGAGAAGUGCAGUGUCCCAAGUAACCUCCUCCAGGUUCCUAAAUCAAGGAUAUGUACUCCUGUAUCACUAUGAUUCUUUUAUUACUGUAAAAAUUGAGUGUUUGGUUUUUUUGCCAUCAAAGUACAACGCCUUUACUUGGAUUUCACCAACAUUCUGGUUAUCCCUUGUUUUUAUGCACUCACGCCUGAUCUUGCUGCGGCUAAUAACUUGUGUUUUGUUAUCAUAUGAAAUGAUAAUAAAAAAUAUCUUUUAAAUGAGUUAAAAGUAUUACAAUAACCUUUUCAAUGCAAAAAUGAGUAUUUUGGUCAUAUAAUA